This 490-nucleotide ribosomal RNA is filed under the name Streptococcus sanguinis. Its description in RNAcentral is "bacterial SSU rRNA". It matches the Rfam family "Bacterial small subunit ribosomal RNA", at positions 1 to 473 of the family's 1533-position model. The record is from RNAcentral. Lineage: Bacteria; Bacillati; Bacillota; Bacilli; Lactobacillales; Streptococcaceae.
UUUAAUGAGAGUUUGAUCCUGGCUCAGGACGAACGCUGGCGGCGUGCCUAAUACAUGCAAGUAGAACGCUGAAGAGAAGAGCUUGCUCUUCUUGGAUGAGUUGCGAACGGGUGAGUAACGCGUAGGUAACCUGCCUGGUAGCGGGGGAUAACUAUUGGAAACGAUAGCUAAUACCGCAUAAAAUUGAUUAUUGCAUGAUAAUUAAUUGAAAGAUGCAAUUGCAUCACUACCAGAUGGACCUGCGUUGUAUUAGCUAGUUGGUGAGGUAACGGCUCACCAAGGCGACGAUACAUAGCCGACCUGAGAGGGUGAUCGGCCACACUGGGACUGAGACACGGCCCAGACUCCUACGGGAGGCAGCAGUAGGGAAUCUUCGGCAAUGGGGGGAACCCUGACCGAGCAACGCCGCGUGAGUGAAGAAGGUUUUCGGAUCGUAAAGCUCUGUUGUAAGAGAAGAACGGGUGUGAGAGUGGAAAGUUCACACUGUGAC